AACGAACGCUGGCGGCAUGCCUAACACAUGCAAGUCGAACGAGAACUUCGGGUCUAGUGGCGCACGGCUGCGUGCCGCGGGGGAACCUGCACUUAGGUUCGGUGUCACUCCCCGAGGGAGGUCCUAAUACCGGAUAAUGUCUUCGGACCAAAGAUGUUUCGCCGUUGGCUGGGCCCGGGUUGGUUUCGCUGGUUGGUAGUGUACAAGCCUGCCAAGGCGACGAUCCAUGGCUGGUCGGAGAGCAUGCUCAGCCGCACUUGGACUGAGGCACGGCCCAGACUCCUACGGGAGGCAGCAGUGGAUAAUAUUGGACGAGGGGCCAUAGUCUGAUACAGCAAUGCCGCGUGAGUGAUGAAGGCCGUAGUGUUGUAAUGUCCUUUUACCCGAGAUGAUAAUGACAGUACCGGGAGAAUAAGCACCGGCUAACUCCGUG
RNAcentral lists this ribosomal RNA (433 nucleotides) under uncultured bacterium. RNAcentral describes it as "partial 16S ribosomal RNA". It matches the Rfam family "Bacterial small subunit ribosomal RNA", at positions 29 to 507 of the family's 1533-position model. The record is from RNAcentral.